GACAGAGGUGGCGACCGUUGUUCGGAAUCACUGGGCAUAAAGCGCGUGUAGGCGGCGAAGAAAGUCGGGUGUGAAAUCCCUCGGCCUAACCGAGGAAUUGCGCCCGAAACUUCUUUGCUUGAGGACAGGAGGGGAGCCUGGAAUUCCUGGUGGAGCGGUGAAAUGCGUUGAUAUCAGGAGGAACACCGGCGGCGAAGGCGAGGCUCUGGCCUGUUUCUGACGCUGAGACGCGAAAGCUAGGGGAGCAAAC
This 250-nucleotide ribosomal RNA is filed under the name uncultured bacterium. RNAcentral describes it as "partial 16S ribosomal RNA". It matches the Rfam family "Bacterial small subunit ribosomal RNA", at positions 524 to 773 of the family's 1533-position model. The record is from RNAcentral.